RNAcentral lists this ribosomal RNA (318 nucleotides) under Triticum aestivum (bread wheat). RNAcentral's name for it is "partial small subunit ribosomal RNA". The record is from RNAcentral. Lineage: Eukaryota; Viridiplantae; Streptophyta; Magnoliopsida; Poales; Poaceae.
AUGAGCAAGCGACUACUGGGAGAAGAAGGAAAACAGAAGCUGAGAAGCGCAGGUGCAGCAUUGCUUCUUGCUAAGCGAGCAAUCAAUCUCCCAGGCAGCAUUGCAAGUUCUUCACCGGGAAGGGUGGAGCAGAGGUGUUUGGAUGGAAGCAGAAACGCUCAAGAAACACGGACAGCAUGCAUGGAGUCAGAGGUGAGGCCCGCACCUUGGGAUAAUCCGAGGAAGCAGAGGCAGGCCACGAGCUUGAUGCAGAGCGAGGACGCCGCCGCUCCCUUGCUGCUGGAAGCCAUGGAACCUGAGAAGCACCUGCCAGGCUAA